Molecule: transfer RNA, 71 nt
Filed under: Planctomyces sp.
Lineage: Bacteria; Pseudomonadati; Planctomycetota; Planctomycetia; Planctomycetales; Planctomycetaceae
Also listed under: 2 other names
Description: tRNA-Gln
Rfam family: tRNA
About the family: Transfer RNA (tRNA) molecules are approximately 80 nucleotides in length. Their secondary structure includes four short double-helical elements and three loops (D, anti-codon, and T loops).
Source: RNAcentral
UACCCGGUAGUGUAACGGUAGCACAACAGGUUUUGGUCCUGUUCGUCCAGGUUCGAAUCCUGGCCGGGUAA